UAAGGUGGUUAUAGCGAGGGGUUCCACCUCUUCCCAUUCCGAACAGAGAAGUUAAGCUCCUCAGCGCCGAUGGUACUGCGAUUGCGGGAGAGUAGGUCGCCGCCUGUU
RNAcentral lists this ribosomal RNA (108 nucleotides) under Saprospiraceae bacterium. Lineage: Bacteria; Pseudomonadati; Bacteroidota; Saprospiria; Saprospirales; Saprospiraceae. The record is from RNAcentral.